Molecule: microRNA precursor, 84 nt
Filed under: Bombyx mori (domestic silkworm)
Lineage: Eukaryota; Metazoa; Arthropoda; Insecta; Lepidoptera; Bombycidae
Description: mir-2807 microRNA precursor family
Rfam family: mir-2807 microRNA precursor family
Source: Rfam by way of RNAcentral
UUAGCUCAUAUUUGUAUGGAAUGGGAUCGUUUGCGUACGUUUGCCGCUAGGGGCGCUAUUCCAAUUGCAUACAAAAUUGGCUUA